RNAcentral lists this long non-coding RNA (427 nucleotides) under Mytilus galloprovincialis (Mediterranean mussel). Lineage: Eukaryota; Metazoa; Mollusca; Bivalvia; Mytilida; Mytilidae. The record is from RNAcentral.
AAUUGAAUAAUUGGGGUUCUUUGAUAUGCUGAAUCUAACUGUCAUGACUGUGUAUGUAGAUUCUUAACUUUUGGUCCCGUUUUCAAAUUGGUCUACAUUAAGGUCCAAAGGGUCCAAAAUUAAACUUAGUUUGAUUUUGACAAAAAAUUAAUCAGUUAGGUUCUUUGAUAUGCUGAAUCUAAAAAUGUACUUAGAUUCUUGAUUAUUGGCCCAGUUUUCAAGUUGGUCCAAAUCGGGGUCCAAAAUUAAACUUUGUUUGAUUUCAUCAAAAAUUGAAUAAAUGGGGUUCUUUGAUAUACCAAAUCUAACUGUGUAUGUAGAUUCUUCAGUUUUGGUCCUGUUUUCAAAUUGGUCUACACUAAAGUCCAAAGGGUCCAAAAUUAAACUUAGUCUGAUUUUAACAAAAAUUGAAAUCUUGAAGUUCUUU